This 954-nucleotide long non-coding RNA is filed under the name Olea europaea subsp. europaea. The record is from RNAcentral. Lineage: Eukaryota; Viridiplantae; Streptophyta; Magnoliopsida; Lamiales; Oleaceae.
AGGGAAAUAAGUUAGUCAAAAAAAUUCUGAAAAUUAACUCAAUAGAUAUGGUAUUAAUGAAUUUAACAAAGGUUUAUAAUUAUUUGAAUUCUAUAUCACUUUGUUUUUGAAUGAGCAAAACUUUUAUCCACGUCCUAGGAUUUUCCUUCUUGGAUUUUCGUCAGACUUGAAAAGUUGUGAAAAAAGAUAAGACCAUUGUCGUUCACAAAGCAUGUUUCUGUGUAAAUAUGUAUCUUUGGACAGUUGGACUCAGAUAAUGCUUUCCCCAAUCUCCAAUUCACAGACUAAAGAUCAUUGCAUGAUUUGUUGUGCUUUUUCAGUAUCUACUAAGACUACAAAAUAUUUUAACAAUUUGAUCAUCUCACACUCCUAUACCCUGUCAGCAUAAAAAAGUAGGACAAGUGUGAAGUAUCAGUUACAAAUAUGUAAAAUCAACUGUAAUCUGUAUAGCUUUUCAUAUAUUUGCUUCUUCCAGAUGUGAGAUGGUGGAGAACUUAAUCUGAAAGUAAACUUCAGGGAUCUUGCCUUUUCGGCAACCGGAAAGGAUAAGCUGGAGGCUGAUGGUUGAAAAUGAUCUUUGUGAUUCUCGAAGAACGAAGGUCAAAGGGACUCAAAAGAUCCUUUUUCGACUCUCUCUUUAGACGUAUUCCCCAGGAGGUGUUCCUCUUCAAGAAGGAGAUUCUUGAACACAUAAUUCCUUAACCAUUGGUCCAUUUAACUCGGCCAAAAGAUGUGGGUGAAGCCAUCAGUGACUAAGAACGCGGCAGAAACACUGUGAAAAUAGCUGAAUCUGAGUCAGCUUAUUCCCUUUCUGCAUUUUUAGCCAUACAAAUUACAUGUGAAAGAGAUUCUUUUUUCCUUCUAUUUUUACCUUCAUUAAUUUAGAAUAUAGUCUCUUUCGUUGGUUCUUUAUUCCCAUUAUAUCAAGUUGAGUAUGUUUCUUGAAUUCUUCAA